Molecule: ribosomal RNA, 450 nt
Filed under: uncultured bacterium
Lineage: Bacteria
Description: bacterial SSU rRNA
Rfam family: Bacterial small subunit ribosomal RNA
Source: RNAcentral
GAUGAACGCUGGCGGCGUGCUUAACACAUGCAAGUCGAACGAAGCACUUGAAUGGAAUUCUUUGGAAGGAAGCUCAAGUGACUGAGUGGCGGACGGGCGAGUAACGCGUGGGUAACCUGCCUCAUACAGGGGGAUAACAGUUAGAAAUGACUGCUAAUACCGCAUAAGCACACGUGAUCGCAUGAUCGAGUGUGAAAAACUCCGGUGGUAUGAGAUGGACCCGCGUCUGAUUAGCUAGUUGGUGGGGUAAUGGCCCACCAAGGCGACGAUCAGUAGCCGGCCUGAGAGGGUGAACGGCCACAUUGGGACUGAGACACGGCCCAAACUCCUACGGGAGGCAGCAGUGGGGAAUAUUGCACAAUGGGGGAAACCCUGAUGCAGCGACGCCGCGUGAAGGAUGAAGUAUUUCGGUAUGUAAACUUCUAUCAGCAGGGAAGAAAAUGACGGUAC